Molecule: long non-coding RNA, 544 nt
Filed under: Chinchilla lanigera (long-tailed chinchilla)
Lineage: Eukaryota; Metazoa; Chordata; Mammalia; Rodentia; Chinchillidae
Description: lncRNA (ENSCLAG00000022755.1)
Source: RNAcentral
GGAAAAGUUCGGGCCUUCCAGUCAGACAGCUGGGCUAAAGUCUGCAGUAUACUCACCGAGAUACAUACUCACCUCUCUGAAGCUCAGCCUACAAGAAGGAUUCUGCUUGCAGUGUACAGAUGUAUAUAUCCAUGGGAGUGUCACUAUUUCCACUUUUUGCCCCUAAUUUGUUAGAUUUGGGAAGGAAAAAAUUUGGCCUCUAAAUGCUGUUUUUCACUCUCUUCCUAUAGCUUCCUAGAGGUUGGCCUACGUCUCAGCAUGAAAUGGAUGUAGAGGGAGAGGCCGGGGGAAGGAGGACAGCGAACACUGGAAUAUGCUCGACCCUGCAUCCUGGAAAACAUUAGUACUCAAUACAUUUAUGACGAACACAUGUUUGAAAGAAAAGUUGAGCAACAAGGCGGAUGAAAUAAAAGGAACCUAAUUUGAAGAAGUUCUUACAGGUUGGUAUUAUUUUUGGAGGGGAGAGUCAUGAAUUUUAUUCUGCCCUCACCUAUCCAUGACUAAAGGAUUUCAGAUAAACAGGGAUAUCAUAGGAAACUAAAAC